Molecule: ribosomal RNA, 698 nt
Filed under: uncultured Bacteroides sp.
Lineage: Bacteria; Pseudomonadati; Bacteroidota; Bacteroidia; Bacteroidales; Bacteroidaceae
Description: bacterial SSU rRNA
Rfam family: Bacterial small subunit ribosomal RNA
Source: RNAcentral
AACGCUAGCUACAGGCUUAACACAUGCAAGUCGAGGGGAAACGACGUUGAGGGCUUGCCCUCAUCGGGCGUCGACCGGCGCACGGGUGAGUAACGCGUAUCCAACCUGCCCCCUACAGGGGAAUAAUCCGUCGAAAGGCGGUCUAAUGCCCCAUACGUUCCGAGGCGGACAUCCAAAUUGGAAGAAAGUGGCGACACGGUAGGGGAUGGGGGUGCGUCCGAUUAGGUUGUUGGCGGGGCAACGGCCCACCAAGCCGUCGAUCGGUAGGGGUUCUGAGAGGAAGGUCCCCCACAUUGGAACUGAGACACGGUCCAAACUCCUACGGGAGGCAGCAGUGAGGAAUAUUGGUCAAUGGACGAGAGUCUGAACCAGCCAAGUAGCGUGCAGGAUGACGGCCCUAUGGGUUGUAAACUGCUUUUGUACGGGGAUAAAGUGAGCCACGUGUGGUUUAUUGCAGGUACCGUACGAAUAAGGACCGGCUAAUUCCGUGCCAGCAGCCGCGGUAAUACGGAAGGUCCGGGCGCUAUCCGGAUUUAUUGGGUUUAAAGGGAGCGCAGGCCGCCUUUUAAGCGUGCCGUGAAAUGCCGUGGCUCAACCAUGGCACUGCGGCGCGAACUGGAGGGCUUGAGUGCGCGGAAGGCAGGCGGAACUCGUGGUGUAGCGGUGAAAUGCUUAGAUAUCACGAAGAACUCCGAUUG